CAGUAGCCACGGUAAUACGGAGGGAGCUAGCGUUGUUCGGAAUUACUGGGCGUAAAGCGCACGUAGGCGGCUUUGUAAGUUAGAGGUGAAAGCCUGGAGCUCAACUCCAGAAUUGCCUUUAAGACUGCAUCGCUUGAAUCCAGGAGAGGUGAGUGGAAUUCCGAGUGUAGAGGUGAAAUUCGUAGAUAUUCGGAAGAACACCAGUGGCGAAGGCGGCUCACUGGACCGGUAUUGACGCUGAGGUGCGAAAGCGUGGGGAGCAAACAGGAUUAGAUACCCCUGUAGUCCCUGUCUCUUAUAC
RNAcentral lists this ribosomal RNA (301 nucleotides) under uncultured bacterium. Its description in RNAcentral is "partial 16S ribosomal RNA". It matches the Rfam family "Bacterial small subunit ribosomal RNA", at positions 509 to 807 of the family's 1533-position model. The record is from RNAcentral.